Solanum pennellii is the source of this 3128-nucleotide RNA transcript. It is a transcript of the gene named factor of DNA methylation 5-like, with no coding region annotated. The transcript has 5 exons. Lineage: Eukaryota; Viridiplantae; Streptophyta; Magnoliopsida; Solanales; Solanaceae. The record is from RefSeq and is a predicted model, not a curated record.
AAAAAAGUAUUCCCCCCAUUAUAUUUAACUCUACCUCAAAACGUUUUGCAUCCAAUUAAAAUGCUCUGCUAGUUGCCCUAAAAGAUUAAACCCUAGUUUCUCUCCUUCUGAUUUCCACCCAAAAAUUCUCCAUUAUAAUCUUAAAGAUUUUUGGUUGAGAUUUCCUUAAUAGUCUCACCUAUAUGGGAGAGACUAGAGAAACAAUUCAAUGAAUUUCAGAUUUGAAGGAAUCGAAGAAUCUAGCUGCUGUAGCGAUUUGGAGGAACGGGAGAAUCCCAGAUUUAGUAACUUGGCUCAUAAGAGUCAUUAAUGACAAGUGUAUUGCAUUGUUUUUUAUCCCAGGUAGUCUUUGCUGUAGAUAGAAAGGAGAAAAUAUCUAAUCAGUUGAAUUUUCUGUAUUCACAGUGACAAUGAACUACAAAUGAUUUGAUGACUUGGCCAACAUUUUAACCACAACUUUCCUCUCUUCUUGAAAAGAUCAAAUUUCUUAGAAAAGCGUCAUUUUAAUUAAUAUACUGAGAGAUGCAUCAGCUGAGGUAACUGAUUUUGUCCAUUUAAAUGAUUUCAAAAUUUCUGCAAGUUUUGCUUUAUUAAACGGGUUGCAUAUGAGGUAACUCAUUUUGUCCUGGAUAUAACUUUAUCUUGAUGUCUAAUCUGUAUGGAGUGAUAUUUUUCUUAAUAAAAAUGAUUGUUUUUGCAAUUGCAAGUUUUACUAUCUAGUUUAUUAUACACACUGACAUGCACACAUAUAUGCAUGUAUUUGUUUCUUCCUUGGUGUGGAGGGUCGGGGUGUGUCUGAAUAAACAAUCCCGUAUCUGCGCUUGAGUGUGAAACACUAGUAGACAGGCAAAAGACACUUUCUUUUUUGUUUCUAUUGCUUACCGCCAAUGACUCCCCUCUUUUAUGUUUCAAGGCGUUUCCUUUCUGACACAAUUGUUUUUUCCAUCUUAUGAGCUACAGGUAGAAGACCUCUGAAGGUUAUUUCCUUUAAGUGCUAGUUUACCGCCACCUUUUAUUGAAUGUGAUCGUCCAUUGAAAAAGAAGUAUUCAAUUUUAAAAGAGUGUAACGAGAGUCUUAAUUCGGACACUGCAUGUAUUGAUCAAGCUUUAGGCAUAACUUUUUCGUGCUGAAAUUGAUCAAUCUUAGCCAUUAGUGUUGAUGCCCCUGAAUCAGAGCAACUUUAAUCAGAUUCACUUGUUUCCAGUUCGUGCAUCAUUAGGCUAUUAGAGUGGACUGUCUUCAGUUGAUUUCCACUACCAGAUUGGCCAAUGGUGAAGGACUUAAGAGAGAAGGAUCAAACAACAGAAGUUCUUUGGUCACUGAUUAGGAAUGAUUUGCGAGCCAAUGGCACCUUCGACCGAUAUGCAGUAGUAUGGGUCUCUGUUGUUGUUGCUGCUAAUGAGGUUUAUUUGGUCAGCUCUAGUGUGUCAAAAAGUGAUAGGAACGGAGACAAGUUAAGCUCUGGUUCUUAAGCAAAUGCUCCAAGUUUGAAUUCUACUGGUUCCACAAUAACAAGUACUAUACAGAUGCUUAGGGAUUUUUUCAGUGGACAUUAAUGACAAGAGAGAGUUUCAUUUAAUGGUUGGUUCCGGUUCAAGUGAAAAUAAUCAAACUUCCUCUUCUAAAUCGUUAUUAGCAUCUACCUGUAGUUUUUCAAAAGAUAUUUUUUUGCUAAUUCAUAUAUGGUUUAAAAUAGUUUUAUUUAAUAUGUAACUAACUUUAUGCAUCUUACAUUUUCUUUGAGAACUAGUAUGGUGUCACUAGAUCAUUGAUUAACAAAGAUCAGAAGCUAAAGAGAUCCUUUUUGGAUAUUCAUAGGUAAUAGAAAGUUCCGCUAGUUAAGUGUACUUGGUGCAGAAUCACGAAAGAUGCAACACCUUGCACGUGAGAAUGUACAGAAGGUUCUAAUGGAGCAAGAAAUGUUAUGCUUAGAGCUUGAGAGCAAGAAGAAGAAGCUUGAUUCUUGGGGCAGAGAAUUGUAUAAACGUGAAGCUUUAACUGAGCGAGAAAAGCAAAAUUUUGAUGAGGAGAAGAAACAGCUAGAGGAGUUGUCUUUCUUCUUGAUCGAGUUUUGUCUUGUGGAAUAUGAAAUGUUGAAACAUUUGAAUUGGGCAAAGGAGGGUCAACUGCAGUUAUUGCAAUGCUCAUAAGUAGUCAAAUAUUUAUAGUAGAACAUGUGGGAGAUUCUCGAGUUGUUUUAUCCAAGAAAGGUAUUGCCAAGCAGCUAUCAGUUGGUCAUAAGCCAUACAGGGAAAGGAGAUAAUUGAAAGCAAAUGUGUACUUGUUUCAAACAUUCCAGAUUCAAGCAGAAGCUAUACAAGGGUUGCAAUUUUGCCAUCAUAAGGUUGAAGGCACUGGUGGCAAUUCUUAAGGUUCAACCAAGACUAUUUAUUUGAAGCAAGAAGAUCAUAACUAAAUGAGGAAAAAAUUCUAAGUUAUAGUCGAGUCAAAAUCUUGAGUUAAAUCUGAACUUUUUAUUUUUUUUAUGAUCUUAUUUUAUCACCAUUUCUAAUCAACGUAAAGUGAUAUUCAUCCAUAGGUUCAUUCACAAUCUUCUAUUCUCCAUUUGACUCCAACAAGGAUGUUAGAGUUCUGAUCCCAAUUUAGCAAGUUUUUCCUUGAAUAUUUUCUACUGUACUUUGGGGCUUCCACUUAAUCUAUAGUUUCCAAAUUAUUAACUUCUAUUUUGUGGUAAAAGUAAGCUACUUUAUCUCUUAAACUUGAAAGAUUAUCAGUUUUUACAAGUUGUAUAACUAUUGUGUUAUCUUCAAUGCCAGGAUAAUGGUUGCUGCUGCAUUAUUACUUGUUUGCCUAUUGCAGGUUGAAGGCACUGGUGACUAUUCUUAAGGUUCGACCACAACUAUACAUUGCCAUAUGGAAGAAGAAUCCCAUAAAGAAAUCUCUUUUGCAUUUUUACAUGGAUCCAAGUAAUUUGUAGGAAAACGCCGAUAAUUGAAUUUGAAUUGUGUCCAAAAGUCCAAAAGUAAACUCGAUCUAUUGUAGUGAACGACGAAGAGUUUUUGUACUAUUGUCAUAUGUAUUUGAAUGCAUUUGGUUUUGUGGAAUUUAUUGAUACUAGUUGUACGAAACAUGUUUCUCGAAGUUUAUCUGAAAUAUAUUUCUUCAA